GACGGAGGGCGCGAGCGUUAUUCGUUUUGAUUGGGUGUAAAGGGUAUGUAGGCGGCCCCCAGUAUUUUGGCCAAAAGAGCGGAGUGUUCUUAUGCUAUAUGGCCUUUGAAGAAGGGGGCUUGUGUUGAUGAUAGGUCGGGGCAAGUUCUUAUGUAGGGGUAGAAUCCCACCAUAUGAGAACGAACGUCAGCUGGCGAAGGCGCCCUUCCCGCUUCAACAGACGCUAAGGUACGGGAAGCUUAGGUAGCAACAGGGG
This 256-nucleotide ribosomal RNA is filed under the name uncultured bacterium. RNAcentral's name for it is "partial 16S ribosomal RNA". It matches the Rfam family "Bacterial small subunit ribosomal RNA", at positions 524 to 777 of the family's 1533-position model. The record is from RNAcentral.